CGCGGAGACAUUCUUGGUCAUUUAGAGGAAGUAAAAGUCGUAACAAGGUCUCCGUAGGUGAACCUGCGGAGGGAUCAUUACACAAAUAUGAAGGCGGGCUGGAACCUCUCGGGGUUACAGCCUUGCUGAAUUAUUCACCCUUGUCUUUUGAGUACCUUCGUUUCCUCGGCGGGUCCGCCCGCCGAUUGGACAACAUUCAAACCCUUUGCAGUUGCAAUCAGCGUCUGAAAAAACAUAAUAGUUACAACUUUCAACAACGGAUCUCUUGGUUCUGGCAUCGAUGAAGAACGCAGCGAAAUGCGAUAAGUAGUGUGAAUUGCAGAAUUCAGUGAAUCAUCGAAUCUUUGAACGCACAUUGCGCCCCUUGGUAUUCCAUGGGGCAUGCCUGUUCGAGCGUCAUUUGUACCUUCAAGCUCUGCUUGGUGUUGGGUGUUUGUCUCGCCUCUGCGUGUAGACUCGCCUUAAAACAAUUGGCAGCCGGCGUAUUGAUUUCGGAGCGCAGUACAUCUCGCGCUUUGCACUCAUAACGACGACGUCCAAAAGUACAUUUUUACACUCUUGACCUCGGAUCAGGUAGGGAUACCCGCUGAACUUAAGCA
RNAcentral lists this ribosomal RNA (599 nucleotides) under Epicoccum nigrum. RNAcentral's name for it is "eukaryotic LSU rRNA". The stretch from base 246 to 399 matches the Rfam family "5.8S ribosomal RNA". The record is from RNAcentral. Lineage: Eukaryota; Fungi; Ascomycota; Dothideomycetes; Pleosporales; Didymellaceae.